UUUUGUACGUCAAAAAAUAAUUUUCGCCAGAACUGGAAACGAAUUACAAUUUCUGCUGUGAGUAAGGAAAGGAGUCGUUAAAUAUUGUAAAUCGUAAUCCAAAAUGGCUCGUAAGCAAGAUGAGAAUCAGGAAGGUGACAAACUACCUUCUAACAUGGAGAAAGCUGUGGCCGAAUUGAGCCUCAAAGUUGCAUUACUUAAAGCGGCUGUCGCUAAAAAGAGGAAGUUGUUGGAUAAAAUGAAAAGCAGUUUGAACAAGAUGAAAACAUUAACAAAGAAAGGCAAGAAAUCCGCACCAGGACAGCCUUAAAGAAUUUCUUAACACCACCCAGAAGUCUUAUGGCUUAUGAUAACCAAGUUCUAAAUCAGAUCAUACACUACCUAACUCGAAGAUUUGAAAUCCAACAUUUCUGCAAUGCAAGUC
Molecule: long non-coding RNA, 424 nt
Organism: Drosophila simulans
Lineage: Eukaryota; Metazoa; Arthropoda; Insecta; Diptera; Drosophilidae
Exons: 3
Source: RefSeq, a predicted model, not a curated record